Molecule: small nucleolar RNA, 137 nt
Organism: Callipepla squamata (scaled quail)
Lineage: Eukaryota; Metazoa; Chordata; Aves; Galliformes; Odontophoridae
Source: Rfam
CUUCCGUGAAGAUGUGAUGACGAGUCUGAAAGGGAAUGUCCUUCUCCAAGCUCCCUGCUUCUUGCUGUGUUCUACAGCAUGAGUUUGGGGACCUUGGGUCAGAAUUUGAGUGACCAAGAGGCAUUUGUCUGAGAAGG